RNAcentral lists this ribosomal RNA (426 nucleotides) under uncultured prokaryote. RNAcentral's name for it is "bacterial SSU rRNA". It matches the Rfam family "Bacterial small subunit ribosomal RNA", at positions 355 to 774 of the family's 1533-position model. The record is from RNAcentral.
UAAGGAAUAUUGCGCAAUGGGCGAAAGCCUGACGCAGCGACGCCGCGUGAGGGAAGAAGGCCUUCGGGUCGUAAACCUCUGUCAUUUGCGAUCAACCCUCAUUAUUUAAAAGAUGGUGAGCUGAUAGUAGCGAAAGAGGAAGGGACGGCUAACUCUGUGCCAGCAGCCGCGGUAAUACGUAGGGGGCGAGCGUUGUUCGGAUUUACUGGGCGUAAAGAGCGCGUAGGUGGUUCGACAAGUCGGAGGUGAAAGCCCUCGGCUCAACCGAGGAUCCGCGUCCGAUACUAUCGAACUUGAGUGCAGGAGAGGAGAGCGGAAUUCCGAGUGUAGCGGUGAAAUGCGUAGAUAUUGGGAAGAACACCGGAGGCGAAGGCGGCUUGCUGGGCAGCAACUGAUGCUGAGGCGCGAAAGCCAGGGGAGCAAACG